This is a non-coding RNA of Phoenix dactylifera (date palm), 849 nucleotides long. The record is from RefSeq and is a predicted model, not a curated record. Lineage: Eukaryota; Viridiplantae; Streptophyta; Magnoliopsida; Arecales; Arecaceae.
UCUGGUCCUCGAGGCAUUUUUCUGCAAGGGGAAUGCACGCAUCCAACGAUCUUCUCGUCUCUCUAAUUUCUUCUUUCUUUCUUUCUUUCUUUCUUUCUUUUUUGUCUCUACUUUGCUCAAUCCCAACGUGUUUCGUGAUACCUGUUCCCUUUGGAUCAACAGUCUUUUGUACUUGAAUGCACCAUUCAUUAAUUUGUAUUCAGGGAUUUAACUCUUUAACUCUUUUGUUUAAGGAAAAUUUUGGGGCGGCUUGGUGCAAAAAGGGAGAAGUGGGUGCAAGUUCUCCCCAGAGGAAGAGCGGGUUGUGAUGGAUUUGGGAACUCGGAUUCUAGAGGAGGAGGGGAAUUAAAUUAAAUAGCUGAGAUCCUAAAGUUCUUGCUGAAUUCGGAUUGUUCUCGGAGAAUCUCCAACUGGACCGGGGGAGGAAGAAGACUCCCAUCGGAGUUAGGAUUGGAAUUUUUUUCUCCGCCGGUAUCUUGUCAUAAGGCACUGUGGCCUUGGGUCUGGCCUCUUAGGGCCUGCCCGCAGGCCCAUGGCUGAGCUAGUCACGGAUCAGACUGGGCCUGAAUACUUCGGGCCGGCCUAAGAGUCCAAAAAGUCUAGGUUACUAUCGGUAUGAUUGCACUCGCCAAUGUAAUAUGGCUCUACCCGAAGUUUAUCAUCGCCAAAUGCACGUCAAAUUGAUGACCAUUGUAAUCUGUUAAGGAGCAAACUGAUACCUUAAAAGGGUGACAAAAAAAGAUAGGAAUAUUGUUCUCGGCAGGGCUUAUGCUCCAAACUUGCAUUCAAAUGCAGCAAAAAAUAGGUCGCCUCUGUACAAUAUCUACAAAUCAUAACUUUAUCUUUGAA